Molecule: ribosomal RNA, 480 nt
Filed under: uncultured bacterium
Lineage: Bacteria
Description: partial 16S ribosomal RNA
Rfam family: Bacterial small subunit ribosomal RNA
Source: RNAcentral
GAUGAACGCUAGCGGCAGGCCUAACACAUGCAAGUCGAGGGAGAGGUUACCUUCGGGUCACCAACACCGGCGCACGGGUGCGUAACGCGUAUACAAUCUGCCUUUCACAUAGGGAUAGCCCGAAGAAAUUUGGAUUAAUACCUAAUGGUAUAUAAGAGCGGCAUCGUUUUUAUAUUAAAGCUACGGUGGUGAAAGAUGAGUAUGCGUUCUAUUAGCUAGUUGGAGAGGUAACGGCUCCCCAAGGCGACGAUAGAUAGGGGUUCUGAGAGGGAUGUCCCCCACACUGGUACUGAGAUACGGACCAGACUCCUACGGGAGGCAGCAGUGAGGAAUAUUGGACAAUGGUCGGAAGACUGAUCCAGCCAUGCCGCGUGCAGGAUGAAGGUCCUAUGGAUUGUAAACUGCUUUUGUAAGGGAAGAAUAAGGAGUACGUGUACUUUGAUGACGGUACCUUACGAAUAAGCAUCGGCUAACUCCGUG